AGAGCGAACGCUGGCGGCAGGCUUAACACAUGCAAGUCGAGCGCCCCGCAAGGGGAGCGGCAGACGGGAGAGUAACACGUGGGAACGUACCUUUCGGUUCGGAACAACCCAGGGAAACUUGGGCUAAUACCGGAUACGUCCGUAAGGAGAAAGAUUUAUCGCCGAAAGAUCGGCCCGCGUCUGAUUAGCUAGUUGGUGAGGUAACGGCUCACCAAGGCGACGAUCAGUAGCUGGUCUGAGAGGAUGAUCAGCCUCACUGGGACUGAGACACGGCCCAGACUCCUACGGGAGGCAGCAGUGGGGAAUAUUGGACAAUGGGCGCAAGCCUGAUCCAGCCAUGCCGCGUGGGUGAUGAAGGCCCUAGGGUUGUAAAGCCCUUUCGGCGGGGAAGAUAAUGACGGUACCGCAGAAGAAGCCCCGGCUAACUUCGCGCCAGCAGCCGC
RNAcentral lists this ribosomal RNA (443 nucleotides) under uncultured bacterium. RNAcentral's name for it is "SSU rRNA". It matches the Rfam family "Bacterial small subunit ribosomal RNA", at positions 26 to 518 of the family's 1533-position model. The record is from RNAcentral.